RNAcentral lists this long non-coding RNA (5528 nucleotides) under Mytilus galloprovincialis (Mediterranean mussel). The record is from RNAcentral. Lineage: Eukaryota; Metazoa; Mollusca; Bivalvia; Mytilida; Mytilidae.
CAAUACAGACACAAAUUAUCAGUCAUUGAUUAAUCCAUCAAAGAAAGACACCCAGGUAUAUUAUUUAUGUGUUGUGUUGCAUGUGUGCAUGUGAUUGCUUGUACAUUUUAGACGUUUAAUGUUUGUAUCAAUGCAUGUCUUUAUCUUAUACAGAUAAUUCUACUAAACACGUCCAUUAUAAGCAUGAGGACCACAGUUUCAUUGUUAAUACAUUCUAUAAUUAUUCUUCUCUUCGUAUUGAUUUGUUGUUGCUGAAGUGGACGACUGUUUGUGACAUUACUUUAGCUUUAUCACUUUACUGCUAUUUAAUCUAACACCGCCGUAAAGAACCAGGUGAAGCAUUUUUGUAUUUAGAGACAAACCAUUUAUCGGCCUUAAGUAUUACAUUAAAUGAGCAUGUGCACUUCUAUAAUGUAUUGAAGAGUAAUGUGUCAGGAAAUCACCACUUUAUUUGUUUAAAAUAAAAAAGCAAUAAGACGUUCACAAUAACCAUUAACAAACCUGCUUCAAUUACUUCUGUGUAUCAUUAUUAUCUUAGAACAUACUGUAGUUAUACCCCAAGUAACGAACUGUAGAAGGUAGUAAUGAUCAUCUUCCAUCCGUCUAAAAUUUAAUUGAAAGAAGAAAGGUUCACUUGCAUAAUAAUUUACACCGCUCCUCCCCAUCCACUCCUCACAACAAAAAAAAAAUUAAAAAAAAAUACAAAACAAGCAAAUAAAUAAAAUAGUUGAUACAUGUAAUUAUUGAACGAGUGACCGAACAACACAAUAAUUCACGAAUGCGCGAAAUUAUCAGUGUUGUUUUGGUCACAAUUCAAUUCAAUUCAAUAUUUUAUUUACGUCUCACCUUAUGUAUAAAAUUACACAAUACAUUUAUAAAAGAUACAUUUUGUAUACAUAAGCCAAUCUGUACAGAUUUAUGAGAGACGAUAAUCACUUAAAAGAAUAUGUAUAUGUACAUAAUAAAUAUUAAACCUGAAUGGUAAAAUUAUACAACAAAAGUAUUUUUCACAAGUAGAUAACUUUUCUUUUUACUACAUGGAAUUUCUAGAGAAUUAAAUAACGAAAAAUGCAAAUAAUCUGUUUCUGCGCAGUAAAUAGUCCUGCGUAUUAAAUCGGCAUUUUUGCUAUACAAUCUAAAAAACGGCUACAAGUGCCAAAAAAAACAACAAAAAACAACACCAAUUCUUCUGAAAUAUGUAUACUUUUAAUAAUGUUUUUUUAGUUAUUUUGUUCACCGUCGUAUCUAUUGAAAUUUAUGAGAAACUGUGUAUAGGCCUUUACUGUAUAAGAUCAUUUUUACUAUUAACUACCAUACUUAAUACUAUAUAGACAUUUCUUAUUUUUGAACACCGAGUAUCAUAGUUACUUCUAGAUGACAAUCGACUUUUUGGUCGUUGUGUCGAUAACUUAUUGACUUAUAGCCCUCACAGUAUAAGCUCAUCUGGCCGAAAAAUGUGUAAUAGCUAUUAAGAAAUUUUACAAGACAAAUAAGUUCAAGAUCUACAAACAUACCAAAUUGCCGAAAUCAGUCGACUCUUGACUGAAGUUAUUGCUCUUUAAUGACGAUCUGUUUCCAUUCUUGCUUAUCAUUUUAAAAACUAUAAUAGACAUAUACUUAAAGAAACUUUAUUUAGCAAAAAUACCAAAAGGACAAGAUCUACAAAUAUGUCAACAUGGCUUAAAUUGGCAGUUAACUCUUUAUUUAGAGCGUAAUAACCCUUUCAUGAUGAUGUUCAUUAAAAAAAAGGCCUUUGCUGAAGAUGCAGGUGAAAAUAUUUUGUUUGUCGUUUACUGUACCUGGUCAGCCCGCAAUAUAAAUUAAAACCUUAUAAAAUGCAUAAUCAUUUGAUUUUUACAUAUUCCUAUUUUCUUUAUUUUCAAAUAAAAGUACGUGCAUUGUAAAUGAUUCCAGUAAUGCAAUCCUUCAAUUUAUGAAAACGUGAUUGUAGUGACGCCUCCAUCGUGUAUACGAUUUCAUGCUGUUAGCACUCGAACACACCUGAUUAUCAGGUUAUGUUGACAGACAUAGUUUACAUCAGUAAAUCAACAGGUUAUUGUAAUCACGUGACAAGAGGAAAAGAAAUACAGAUGUUUGUAACUUUUACUUUACUCACGUAUUCAUUCACGAUUCAGUCAGAUAUGAAAAAAUUCACAAUGUAACAUUAUGAUUUUGAUAAACAGUAUUUGCCUUGUUAAAUAAAUUCCACAAUAAAACAUGCUAGAAAAUCAUUCCAGUUACAUGACAAAUUGAUAUUGCUGAUAGGUAUUAACAAGAGUUACGUAACAUCAUGUUCAUAGUUCCUUUCUUAGUACUAACCGUUCCUGUUUUGUUUCAUAAUUAUUUUCAUAAUUACCUAAUUUUAAAUCUUCACAUGACCAAUCAAAAAUAUCCUUGAUGUUAAAAGAAGAUUCUUUAUAGUUUACAGUGGGGACCUUAAUGAAUAUAAUUAUAUUAAUUGUCCCCCGCCAAUGCACAUGCUUUAUCUAUUCAACGGCAUUAAUUCCUUCAAAAAUGCAUGCGUUGCUAAGCACGUACAAACUCGCAAAUAAAGUACAUGAGUAUUUGAAAAUGGCAUGCAAUUGGGUAACAGAUCCGAAAAGCGAUUACAUGUUACAACUUCUAAUUGUCAGGUUUGUGACCAACUUUCAGAUAAUACUGUAAAGUUGUACUGGAUAAAAGUGUUCGUUCAACAUGUUGCAAAAUUUUUAGAGUAUAUGGCAGAAAUUGAUUGUGCUCACAUUGUAAUGAUCUAUAUAAUUUUAAUAGGAAAAGGACAUAAAUCAUUAAAAAAAAUGAUCAACGCUGAACGCGCCUUGGGCAUUACUAGGCAUUGGUGAUACUAAUCAUUGAUACUAGAACACACCCGUGAUAUCGCGGGUCCGUGACUGAAUUAAAGUAUAUAACUAUGCGCAAGCCUUAUUUUAGUAUUAGUACUGUCAUCUGAUAAAGUCAUGUCGAUAUAGAUACACAAUUUUCUUGCUUUCAAAUCUUUCUGUUUGAACCCGUCGAACUGGAACUUAUCAAUUAUUGGUAAAUAUAAUUAUUUGGAAAACAAAAGGUCCUGGAAUGGAGUAUUUUUUAAUCAACAGCAUUAUCCUAUAUUAGUUAUAAAUAAAGUUGAAUUCUUUGAUUCGCUGUUUUACGUCAUGCCCGCUAACAAAUUGAAACUUUCCAGAUUUAUAGUAUUCGUAUUGUUAUCUUAGAAAGUCUUACGGAUUAAAAUACUACAAUAGGUAGCAAUUUGACAAUUAGUGUGUCAACCCUGUGAUUAAUGAACCGGUAUAUAGCAUAUUAAUCCUGAAUACACCGUUUGGUGGUGCGCCUGUCAGAUGCGGAACGUACAGAUAAGGUAAUAGGUAACAGGUGAUUUAAACUGGACCCCUGCUGGUGUUUCAAUCUUAUCUACAAAAGUGUCGAAGUAUCAAUCAGCGGGUGGCCAGUUAACAGGUGAUUAUACUAUUGGUAUCGGUAUCGGACUCGACCCGGAAUUUCCUAAUUAUUGGCAAUAUUAAUUACGUGGAAAACAAAAGGGCCUGGAGUGGUGUAAUUUUUAAUCUACACCUUUGUACUAUAUUUGUUGUAUAUAAAGUUGAAUUCUUUGAUUCGUCGUUUUUACGUGAUGACGGCUGACAAAUUGGACCUCGUAAUUUUAGUAUUAUAGAUACUUUUCAUAACAAUGAUAAAAAGUUUAUAAUGCAAUUGUAGACGGUAAUUUUAUUCCCGAGGAGCACUACUCCUUCAAAAAAUAUUUUCGAGCUCGUCCAAUAUAUUGCUUUUCAAAACCCUUUAUAUAUAAAUGUCAUACAAUUCUGGAAUUUCACAUGUGAGAGCACUAACUAGACCUGGCGGACAGACUGAUGAACGCCUGUUAUUCCUAUGUCUCUUAAGACAGACUGUUUUGUCUUGAAUUUGCAUAUUAUAUUUGCUGUUAGGCGUUAAUCAGCCACUAAUCAAUCGAUCAGGUUUAGUAUCGUAUGUUUACUAUCACUGGGUUAGUACCACGGAUAAUAGACUAUCAUCCACUCAAUAACCAGUGGUUAUGCUCUGUUAAUUCUACCACUAAGGAGUAUGUAUUGGGGAAAAAAACCUUGUUCUCUAGCUCAGUAAUCGAAAAGGAUAAUGCAAUUUAGCAUAAAGCAUUCAAUGCUUACUAAAACAAUAUCGGCUUUUUGGUAUCAGUAUCAAAUUUAAUAUAUAAUUCGAAUUUUAUCUAACAUCUUUGAUUGGAUCUUUAAAAAAAAACCUAGAAAAAUUGUCCAAUUGUCUGAUUUGUAUAUUAUUCCUUUUAUAUUUUUUGGCGGGUAGCAUGCAGCUUUGCUCACAAAAUGUAUUUUACCAUUAGAUGACUCAUAUGAAGAUGUUGAUACGAGUGAAAUGUCUUAUUUUGGUACGGCUGUUUCUCAAACAGAAUUUAAAAUUGCUAAAGCUUAUAAUUAAAGUAUUAACUAAAUUGUUAAACGGUCAAACUCUGCGAAGAACAUAUACGUUAAUUUAAUGAUUGGGUUUUUCUGUUCUUAUUUUGAUUUUCCUUCACGUUGUGUUCAUCAUUGGGCACGAAGUUGGUUGUCAAUAACAAGCAUAUUGGAAAUUAUUCCUUGAAACAUGUAUCUUGUAAACUAAAAAAAGGUUUUACUUGCUGAACUUUUCAAAGUUAUUAAGACCGUUUAAUUGUGUUGUCUCUUUAUUUUGUCUUUGUUUAGUGGAACAAUGACUUUGGUUUAGAUUUCAUAACAUUAUUAAUUUAUCUAUUUCCUUCUUUAUUCUUUAUCAGAUAGCCUAUUUAAUCAUGAAAAUUCACAAGGAAGGUUAAUUAACCAAGAAGUUUAUACGGUACGUAUUAAAUCUUUAAACUAAUUAUAUCCUCUUUCAUGAAAUUGCAUGGUUCCUAAAUAAAGUUGUAAAUAUUUUGCAUUUUUUUUCCAAAUAUAAAUCUAUAGUAACAUCAGAGCGAAACGACGGUAAUGUGUUGUACUAAGUAUCAAUGUAACCCUUUUGUAGUAUUGACGUCAUGUUAUGUUUCAUGAUAAGAUAAAUGUAGCGAACCACCUUGUUGCAAUUCGAGAAGACAGACAGUUCUUUGUGUAUUGUAUUAGAAAAUAGAAAAAAAGCCUGUAUUUUUGUAUUUAGAAUUAAAUCUGCUUUGAUACGAUCUUUUCAAUGCCAGAAAUAAAGUAUUAAAAAAUCGCUAAAAAAGCUGUAUUAUAAGUAUAUUCACAAUAUACAACGUGAUGUUUAAAACGCACAUACACUUGCACAUUUGAAUGCAUGAAAGUAUUAUAAAACAUGUUGAUCAUAAUGUGUUCUUUUAUUAUCAGAUGGCAAUUGAUAGUAUUCCAUUCAACCGUAACUGUAUAGCUGCCAGGGUUGCCUUAGCGGUUUACCUGUCUGGUUUUCUCUGCUUUCUGAUUGGAUUGGCCACACCGAACUGGCUUCAUGUCGACCAGGGAAUGCAAGGCGGGCUUUGGAGUGCUUGUUAUUAUGUCAAGACGUUGGUUGGACCUGCAAUCAAUAUAAAUCACAGCCAG